This 243-nucleotide long non-coding RNA is filed under the name Elaeis guineensis (African oil palm). Its description in RNAcentral is "long non-coding RNA (EGUI_LNC024013)". The record is from RNAcentral. Lineage: Eukaryota; Viridiplantae; Streptophyta; Magnoliopsida; Arecales; Arecaceae.
AAAUAAUGGUUUUUAUAAAAUCACCUUUUUUUUGAGGUUAAAAAGAGACUGAGAGAAUUAGCCACCUGUGUUUAUUAAGGAGAGGCUGUUUAUGGAAAAAGAAAUAGAGUUGGAACCGGAGAGGAAGUAAAGCUUAAAGACUUCAUCACCAGUAUAAUGAUGAUACCACAAAAUAAAAACAAAACGGAGCUAAUCCUCCUUCCCUGGCAAAUAAGUGCAUCAAGAAAAAAAAAAUAGAACAUA